CAGAGGAUGGUCCAGGGAGGCGAGACCGACCGACUCACCGCGGACCGUUAGACCGGCCCAGUCCGUGGCUACAGCGGGGCCAGCUGGCACCACAAACACCCAGUAACCGGCACAAACCGGAUUUGACAGCUGCAGCUGUACGUGCUCCGCUCACCCGGCUCGGAGGCGACCGUCCUGGGGUGAACUCCUGACGGAGGCGGCCUCUCCCGACCCCCCGCUCCCCGGAGCUCCGCAGCACUUUGUGGGGGUUCGUUCUCCAUCAGCCGGCUCUGCUCGCUCUCUGUCUCCGCUGGAUGUGCUAGCAUGAGCGCAUGAGGGCGGUCCUGCUGGAGCGGAGCCGCAUCCUGUGGAUCGGGAGCAGCGCUUUCUCUAUCUUCUGUUUUAUUAUUUUCUGAUGCGUUUCCUUUUAAUCGGGUGGAUAAUCUGAACGUUUUACCGACCUUCUGGGAUUAGCUCAUGGAUAUUCUGCCUUCAGGACACAAGUGGAAGGAACAACCUUGAGAUUUCCAGGAAUGAUCAUCCUGCAAGACCAGCUCCUAAAAACCAUCUGCUCCAGAUUUCUGGCUAAUGAUUCCCUCCACCGGCUGGAUUUUCUCCAUUGAAGUCAUCGGAGGCGGAGGAGCCUUUUUGUCACCGCUCAUCGCUUUUCUCACGCUGGGAUUUACAUUAGUGAAUCUG
Molecule: long non-coding RNA, 678 nt
Organism: Cyprinodon variegatus (sheepshead minnow)
Lineage: Eukaryota; Metazoa; Chordata; Actinopteri; Cyprinodontiformes; Cyprinodontidae
Exons: 3
Source: RefSeq, a predicted model, not a curated record